GGUGUGUACAAAGGGCAGGGACGUAAUCAACGCAAGCUGAUGACUUGCACUUACUAGGGAUUCCUCGUUGAAGAGUGAAAAUUGCAACACUCUAUCCCCAGCACGACGGAGUUUCACAAGAUUACCCAAACCUGUCGGUUAAGGAAGUACUCGCUGGCUCCGUCAGUGUAGCGCGCGUGCGGCCCAGAACAUCUAAGGGCAUCACAG
Molecule: ribosomal RNA, 207 nt
Filed under: uncultured fungus
Lineage: Eukaryota; Fungi
Description: partial 18S rRNA
Source: RNAcentral